AUAUUCCAGAAAACUCCCAAAGAGAGAAACACUCCUCUUCCACGACUCCGCUCCUCCUCAAGCAUGAUUUUGCCGACACUGCUCCACCUUGUAACUCUACGAUUUUGGACGAAUUUAUGUUCCAUCUUUGUUUUGGUUUUUAAAAAUUUUUUUUUUCACUCUAAUAUAGUCAGAUUUAUGGUGAAAGGAGUUGAAUCUACUGUUCGAAAUUCAAAAUUGGACAAGGGAAAACAUUGGGCCAUGGAACAAUCUUCAAAUUAAUGCCAAGCCUUAUAAAUCGAAGGUAAACUUUGAGUCUUAGCAUAGCAGAUAGUAACUGUUGUGUUGAGUAACAAUUUCAUGUUAGGAAAAUGUAUAAAGCUCGUUCCACAUUGUCAAAAUAAUGCUUUCCCAACUAGGUUUCGUAGCUUUGCAUUCAAUCCAAAUUUUGUAACUUUGCAUUGUUAUGUUGAAGUUUCUGUUAUGCGUUGUGCCUUGAUUCUGGAUAAUUUAUGGAUCUUUACUGCAAAUUUCGAAGUAUUUUUUUUCCACUUUAAUAUGCAUAAAAAAGGCACUUAGUUCGCAUUUGGAAAACUUAAUUAGGCUAUAGAUUAAAUUGUAUAGAGGAUAAAAUUUGUCAAAUCCAGCUUUUGAUGUAAAUUGUAUAUGGAUUAUUAUCAGUCACUUGUACAGUUUCAGCCUAAAAAACAUAAAAUAAGAGGCGGGGUUCAAAAAAUUUCUAUUGUGGCUUUUUUUGAGUGAUUUUUGUAAAACAUGAUGAUCGUGUUUAUGGAUUCAACUCCUUAGCUAGUCACAUAUACAAGAUGCUAUGAAAAUUUAGCGGCCAAUUGUUCUGCAAAAUGAUCCAGUCACAUUCUUCUUACGCAAAGAAUAGCUGGGGAAAUAGAGGAAGAAGAACUACCGGACAGAAGCAGAAGAACAAAUCAGAGAAAGUGGAAGAAGAAGGAACCAAGUACCAACGGACUUAAUGGACUUUUGAAAGGAAACGGGGUUGUUUGGUAUUAAAUGAAACUGUGUCGUUUUAUUCCAAUAAUUGUUGUAUCAUAAAUUCCUUAUUUCAGCUGGAGUAAAUUCCAGUGAAGGUUUGUGUGAAGCUGUGUUUGCGAGUUGCAGUUCAGCUCGUGACAAAUGGUAUCAGAGUAGGCAUAUUAUACUGGGCAAACAAUAAUCAUGGAUACAAGGUCGAAUGCAGUUGAUGAACACUUGAAGAAAUUGGAUCUGGAGAUUUCUCAUCUGGGUAAUUCCUUUAAAGCUGUUAACAACAGGCUGAAGAACAAGUUGGCUUCCACUGAUCAAUCUCUCCAGGUUAGUGGGCAUAGACACGAAAAACUUGAAGCUACGCUGUUAGAUAUGAAUCAUAAAAAUGAAAAUUUAGUGGCCAUGUUGACCCAGUUAUCUUUAGAUAUCAAAAUGGGGCAGAAAAACAAAGGAGUGGAAGAAACUCUGGUCAAGGUGAAAUCUGAGGGUGUAAUAUAUAUCUUAGGAGCUAGUAACACUGAAAGUAGUAUUUAUACUAUAGGGGAUUUUAAGGGAAAUAAUAGGCUGCCUAAGUUUGAUUUUCCACACUUUGGGGGAGAAGAACCUAAGGAAUGGCUUAGAAAAGCUAGGGAGUAUUUCCAACUUCGUCAGAUCUCACGAGUUGAGAUUGGGUAUUGCUGAAAUGUAUUUGAAAGGUAAAGCAGAUUUGAAGAACCAACAGGGUUGCCAUCUCCUAGAUCUCAUGACUAUCAUAUUCUGUUAAAAGAGAUAGCAUAACCAUUCAAAAUUAGGACUUAUAAAUGCCUUUCUAUUCAGAAAAUAGAAAUAGGGAGGCUAGUGGUGGAGAUCGAAAAUACAAAUUAAGUCAACAGUUAAAGGAGAGCCUUUCACAGGCAAGUGCAAGGACGAAGCUUUAUGCUGAUAAAAAGAGACCAGAAAGGUCAUUUUUUGAAGGUGAUUGGGUAUUCCUUAAAACUCCAUCCAUACAGGCACCAGUCAGUGGAGCACAGGCAGAACUACAAGCUGGCGCAAGUUAUUUUGGUCUUCACCAGAUUAUCAAGGAAAUAGGGACAGUAGCAUAUCAGUUGGCACUACGUGAGGGUUCAAAAUUCCAUCCAAUUUUCUCUGUGUCGUUGUUGAAAAGGAAGUUAGAUGAUAAACAUAUGCCGGUACUAUAUGUGCCUAUUAAUAGUCCUUCCCAAUAGGUAGACCAUUAACCACACUCCAUCUUACAGUCAAGGAUGGUAGAGAGUCGGAUCCGCCCAACAAGGCGAUGGUUGAUUCAUUGGUCAGAUCUUCCUCCUGACAGUGCAACUUGGGAGAAUAUGGAAUGGGUUAAAGCUAAAUUUCCCAAUUGUAGAUCUUAGGGACAAGAUCAAAGUGAGAGGGAUGGUUGUUACGUGAAGAGUAGCUAGGGAAAUAGAGGAACAGGAACUACCAGACUGAAGCAGAAGAAGAAACCAGAGAAAGGGGAAAAAGAAGGAACCAAUGGACUUUUAAAUGGAGAUGGUGUCGUUUGGUCCUAAAUGGAACUGUGUUAUUUUAUUCCAAUAAUUUUGUUGUUUUUUAGAAAUCAUCUUUUACUUUUGGGGUUUGGAAAAUAUAUAUAUAGCCAUGUGCGAAGAGGGAGACUGAUUUUUCUGCCAAAUUGGUUGCUAAUUGAAGUGAUUCAAUUCAGUCCUCUCCUUUCUCAUUCUUAUUGUACAUCAUUUAAUCCGUCCCCAUCAUCUUUUACUUUGAAUUUAGUAUCAUAAAUUCCUUAAUUCAGCUGGAGUAAAUUCCAGUGUUGGUUUGUCUGAAGCUUUGUUUGCGAGUUGUAGUUCAGCUCGUGACAAUUCUAUCAUUCAAAGGCUUGAUUAAUGGUAUUUAACAACCUCCAUUAGCAAACAUUGAGGCAGCUAACAUGUGCUACAGCUUCCUGUCACAAACAUGCGUCCUUCGCACGCUAAAGCCUCCAUUAGCUGCUGUUGCCACAACUGUUGGGUACUAGAGCCUCUGGUCAUCAUCGUUGAGGUUGUCACAGCAUGUUUAAGGUCAUCAAAAGCUACAAUUGAGGCAAUCACUGGAUGAUCCAUCUAGUCCUGUGAAUAGGCUGAAGUGAUUCCAAUUCGAUCGCCUCUAUUCAGCACAAUUUUGUUAAUGGAGGGACAAUUUCCAAUUAGGCUACAAGUUAGUCUUUUCUUUAUUUGAACGACGAAAGUGCACACUUUGGCAACAACUCAGAUGCAAUAAGAUGGAUAGUAGACAGCAAGGAAACAUUGUAGUCACCAUUAAGAGCUAAUUUUACUUUUUGUUUGUGAAUUACAAAUCUGGUGGCUACGUGGCUACCAUGGUCUGAAUAUUAAUGAGGUUGAUCAAGUUCUCAUGAACUUAAUCAAAUUACUUGAUAGUCAUGAAGUCCAUAGGUAAUUUCUCUAGCCCACAGUUAUUUAGAUCUUCAAAUUGGUUUCUUAUGAGUUCUUUUGAUUUAUUUUGUCAGGAUCUGUUGUGAUGUAUGCUAGACGUGGUUCCAUUGCAAGCGCGUGAAGAUUACACCAGCUAGAGCCGAGCAUAUUAAGCAAUACAAGUGUCCUUCAUGCAGUAACAAGAGAGCCUGUGCUUGAUGUGAAAUAUUAUUAUCUGUACUCUUGAUGAACGUUCAAGUCUUUGUUGUUUAUGUCAUUUCUGUUGGAAAAUAAGGGGUUGGAGAAGAAACAACAACAAAAUUAUAGAAACAAAAUGAAUGGAAAUCACGAAAUACGUCAAGAACGAAUUUGAGGUUUGAACGCGGGAUCGUUAUCCUCAAAAUAUAUUUGCCUCCUCUCGGGAUUGAAUGAGAUGCUUAAG
RNAcentral lists this long non-coding RNA (3804 nucleotides) under Olea europaea subsp. europaea. Lineage: Eukaryota; Viridiplantae; Streptophyta; Magnoliopsida; Lamiales; Oleaceae. The record is from RNAcentral.